RNAcentral lists this transfer RNA (64 nucleotides) under Bacteriophage sp. Its description in RNAcentral is "tRNA-Asn". It matches the Rfam family "tRNA". From Rfam's summary of the family: Transfer RNA (tRNA) molecules are approximately 80 nucleotides in length. Their secondary structure includes four short double-helical elements and three loops (D, anti-codon, and T loops). RNAcentral also lists the same sequence under 1 other name. The record is from RNAcentral.
UGGCGUGUGGCGGAGCAGUCGGCUAUUAACCGAUUUGUCGUGGGUUCGAUUCCCACCUUGCCAG